This 887-nucleotide ribosomal RNA is filed under the name uncultured beta proteobacterium. RNAcentral's name for it is "bacterial SSU rRNA". It matches the Rfam family "Bacterial small subunit ribosomal RNA", at positions 199 to 1075 of the family's 1533-position model. Lineage: Bacteria; Pseudomonadati; Pseudomonadota; Betaproteobacteria. The record is from RNAcentral.
AUCGCAAGCCCUCACGUUAUUCGAACGGCCGAACGUCUGAUUAGCUAGUUGGUGGGGUAAUGGCUCACCAAGGCGACGAUCAGUAGCGGGUUCUGAGAGAAUGAUCCGCCCACACUGGAACUGAGACACGGUCCAGACUCCUACGGGAGGCAGCAGUGGGGAAUUUUGGACAAUGGGGGGCAACCCUGAUCCAGCCAUUCCGCGUGAGUGAAGAAGGCCUUCGGGUUGUAAAGCUCUUUCAGCUGGAAAGAAACGGUGAGCUCUAACAUAGCUUGCUAAUGACGGUACCAGCAGAAGAAGCACCGGCUAACUACGUGCCAGCAGCCGCGGUAAUACGUAGGGUGCGAGCGUUAAUCGGAAUUACUGGGCGUAAAGCGUGCGCAGGCGGAUUGUUAAGCAAGAUGUGAAAUCCCCGGGCUUAACCUGGGAAUGGCAUUUUGAACUGGCAGUCUAGAGUGUGUCAGAGGGGGGUGGAAUUCCACGUGUAGCAGUGAAAUGCGUAGAUAUGUGGAGGAACACCAAUGGCGAAGGCAGCCCCCUGGGAUAACACUGACGCUCAUGUACGAAAGCGUGGGUAGCAAACAGGAUUAGAUACCCUGGUAGUCCACGUCCUAAACGAUGUCAACUGGUUGUUGGGGGAGUGAAAUCCCUUAGUAACGAAGCUAACGCGUGAAGUUGACCGCCUGGGGAGUACGGUCGCAAGAUUAAAACUCAAAGGAAUUGACGGGGACCCGCACAAGCGGUGGAUGAUGUGGAUUAAUUCGAUGCAACGCGAAAAACCUUACCUACCCUUGACAUGUCCAGAAUCCUGCAGAGAUGCGGGAGUGCCCGAAAGGGAAUUGGAACACAGGUGCUGCAUGGCUGUCGUCAGCUCGUGUUGUGAAAGU